CGGACGGGUGAGUAAUGUCUGGGAAACUGCCUGAUGGAGGGGGAUAACUACUGGAAACGGUAGCUAAUACCGCAUAACGUCGCAAGACCAAAGAGGGGGACCUUAGGGCCCCUUGCCAUCGGAUGUGCCCAGAUGGGAUUAGCUAGUAGGUGGGGUAACGGCUCACCUAGGCGACGAUCCCUAGCUGGUCUGAGAGGAUGACCAGCCACACUGGAACUGAGACACGGUCCAG
Molecule: ribosomal RNA, 232 nt
Filed under: uncultured bacterium
Lineage: Bacteria
Description: partial 16S ribosomal RNA
Rfam family: Bacterial small subunit ribosomal RNA
Source: RNAcentral